Molecule: ribosomal RNA, 560 nt
Filed under: bacterium CaletaPS6
Lineage: Bacteria
Description: bacterial SSU rRNA
Rfam family: Bacterial small subunit ribosomal RNA
Source: RNAcentral
CACGUGGGUAACCUGCCUGUAAGACUGGGAUAACUCCGGGAAACCGGAGCUAAGACCGGAUAGUUCCUUGAACCGCAUGGAAUCAAGGAUGAAAGACGGCUUCGGCUGUCACUUACAGAUGGACCCGCGGCGCAUUAACUAGAUGGCGGGGUAAUGGCUCACCAAGGCGACGAUGCGUAGCCGACCUGAGAGGGAGAUCGGCCACACUGGGACUGAGACACGGCCCAUACUCCUACGGGAGGCAGCAGUAGGGAAUCUUCCGCAAUGGACGAAAGACUGACGGACCAUCGCCGCGUGAGUGAUGAAGGUUUUCGGAUCGUAAAGCUCUGAUGUCAGGGAAGAACAAGUGCUGAGAGUAACUGCUCGCACCUUGACAGUACCUAACCAUAAAGCCACGGCUAAUUACGUGCCAGCAUCCGCGGUAAUACGUAUGUGGCAAGCGUUUUCCGGAAUUAUAUGAGCGUAAAGGGCUCGCAUGCGGUUUCUUAAUUCUGAUGUGAAAGCCCCCGGCUCAACCGGGGAGGGUCAUUGGAUACUGUGAAACUUGAUUGCAUCAGCAU